ACGCUGUCAAAUAACAGAGAAAAAAAAGCCAAGUGUGGUGCUUCCGAUUAUAGUUUGAUUUCAUUAUUCCGCAUUGCCGGAAAUUUGUAAACAGUAAAGUUGUUCUGGACGCAAUUUUUAGACAUCAGACAUCCAAAUGGCCGAUCUGGAGGUAGUAAAUGGUGUCGACGAUGCGAACGACAAAAAGCAAAAGAAAUCGUCGAAGCAUGAUGGUGGAGCCGCCGAUUUGGAAAGAGUGACGGAUUACGCCGAGGAGAAGGAGAUCACAUCUCACAAUUUAUGUUCAAACGCUGCAAACUUGUUUGAAGAUAAACGCAACAAGGAAAAUGAAGAAAAGCUAGCAAUAGAACGAGAACUACAGAAAGUACAUGUGAAAAAGGAGGACAUAGAAUUGAUCAUUCGUGAAAUGGAAAUCACUCGCAGCAAGGCGGAACAGACUCUACGCGUGCACCGGGGCGACGUGGUAGCAGCCUUAGAAGCGCUGAUAAACUAAAACUCUAUGCCGUUUGUGUUCCUUUCCAUACGCUAUAUGAAGUGCGCCGCUGGACGCUUAAAAUCUAAUAAAAGAAGUGCAAAAGGAAUAUCAUAGCAUUCUUCCUUGGGACGUCCAUUCGUUUCACCAUUAUCGGAGGGUUGUAUGAUCUGUGGCUGCGAUGAAGUGAGUUUAUCGGGUUCGAACGCAUGAUUUGUUAUGCCCUGAAGGUUACUGGAGGUGCGAUCGGUUGGCAAAUCCAUGGAUAGUGCAUGAUCGGUUGUGGUGGUCGUGGGAAUAUCGAUUACUGCUAUUCCACUGCUCGUUCUGUCAGUUUGUUCUUGUGUGUAAGGUGGCGGAUUCUCAGCUAGAGAAAUCUGAACAAAUAGAUGAAACAUAUCACUAUUGGA
Molecule: RNA transcript, 882 nt
Organism: Anopheles arabiensis
Lineage: Eukaryota; Metazoa; Arthropoda; Insecta; Diptera; Culicidae
Gene name: huntingtin-interacting protein K
Exons: 4
Source: RefSeq, a predicted model, not a curated record